RNAcentral lists this ribosomal RNA (301 nucleotides) under uncultured bacterium. RNAcentral describes it as "partial 16S ribosomal RNA". It matches the Rfam family "Bacterial small subunit ribosomal RNA", at positions 509 to 807 of the family's 1533-position model. The record is from RNAcentral.
CAGCCGCCGCGGUAACACGUAGGGGGCAAGCGUUAUCCGGAAUUACUGGGUGUGAAGGGAGCGUAGACGGUUAAACAAGUCUGAAGUGAAAUGCCGGGGCUCAACCCCGGAGCUGCUUUGGGAACUGUAGAACUGGAGUGUCGGAGGGGUAAGCGGAAUUCCCAGUGUAGCGGUGAAAUGCGUAGAUAUUGGGAGGAACACCGGCGGCGAAGGCGGCUUACUGGACGACAACUGACGUUGAGGCUCGAAGGCGUGGGUAGCAAACUGGAUUAGAUACCCCCGUAGUCCCUGUCUCUUAUAC